UAAGACGAACCUUGCUAACGUUAUUCGGAAUCACUGGGCUUAAAGGGUGCGUAGGCGGCGCAGCAAGUCGGGUGUGAAAUCCCCCAGCUCAACUGGGGAAUUGCGCCCGAAACUGCUGUGCUAGAGGAAUAUAGAGGUGAGCGGAACUUAGGGUGGAGCGGUGAAAUGCGUUGAUAUCCUAAGGAACACCGGUGGCGAAAGCGGCUCACUGGGUAUUCUCUGACGCUGAGGCACGAAAGCUAGGGGAGCGAACGGGAUUAGAUACCCCGGUAGUCCUAGCCGUAAACUCUGAGCACUUGAUUAAAGGGUCCUCCAUAGCCUUUUAGUCGUAGCGAAAGUGUUAAGUGCUCCGCCUGGGGAGUAUGGUCGCAAGGCUG
RNAcentral lists this ribosomal RNA (377 nucleotides) under uncultured bacterium. RNAcentral describes it as "bacterial SSU rRNA". It matches the Rfam family "Bacterial small subunit ribosomal RNA", at positions 521 to 896 of the family's 1533-position model. The record is from RNAcentral.